GUUUUUGUUCAUAUCAGACAGGGGGUGCCCGAUCUCGUCCGCUCACGGAAGCAAAGCGGUCUUGAGCGCGAUCAGUAGUGGGUUCAGAGAUGACCUGCGAAGCCCGCGUGACGAUCUUU
RNAcentral lists this ribosomal RNA (119 nucleotides) under Coccomyxa subellipsoidea C-169. Lineage: Eukaryota; Viridiplantae; Chlorophyta; Trebouxiophyceae; Coccomyxaceae. The record is from RNAcentral.